GGGGAUGAUAUAGCGUUGAUGGAAGGCCUUUUCUAAAAUAUGCAGGCCGAGCCGGCCGCGGCUCGCAAAUAUCCGGCAAAAAAACAACUGCCAACUUUUUGGCGAAAGCUAAAGAUGCUUUCACGGCUUUUGGCCGCGGAGGCGUAUUAGCUCCUGCUUACGUUUAACGCGUAGGCCAUCUCGCUUCUUGACCCCCGAUAAAGAAACCGAGGUGUAAUACAAUCGGGGCGCAUCCGGCUCUUUGCCCCAAGCGCCGGAGAAGACACAGGGGCUCGGACCUCGGGAGUUUCGCCCGUUUUAUAUCCCGCGGCCUUAAAUUCAAACGGGCUAAGCCUGAAGCAAUAUUUUGGAAUUACUUCCAGACCCGGGGGCGGUACCCGGCAUCUCCACCA
RNAcentral lists this transfer-messenger RNA (392 nucleotides) under Candidatus Wildermuthbacteria bacterium RIFCSPHIGHO2_01_FULL_47_27. It matches the Rfam family "transfer-messenger RNA". From Rfam's summary of the family: Bacterial tmRNA, also known as 10Sa RNA or SsrA, is named for its dual tRNA and mRNA-like properties. Its role is to liberate the mRNA from a stalled ribosome. To accomplish this part of the tmRNA is used as a reading frame that ends in a translation stop signal. The record is from RNAcentral. RNAcentral also lists the same sequence under 4 other names. Lineage: Bacteria; Candidatus Wildermuthiibacteriota.